GCCGGGUGUGGUGGCUCACACCUGUAAUCCCAGCACUUGGGAGGCUGAGGUGAGGGGAUCACCUGAGGUCAGUAGUUUGAGAUCAACCUGGCCAAUAUGGUGAAACCCCAUCUCUA
Unclassified non-coding RNA from Pongo abelii (Sumatran orangutan), 116 nucleotides. It matches the Rfam family "Metazoan signal recognition particle RNA". Rfam says of the family: The signal recognition particle (SRP) is a universally conserved ribonucleoprotein. It is involved in the co-translational targeting of proteins to membranes. The record is from Ensembl. Lineage: Eukaryota; Metazoa; Chordata; Mammalia; Primates; Hominidae.